UAGGUAUGUCAGUUGGUAAAUGAUAUUGCAUGAAGACUAUAGCAUGUAGAAAUGCUUUGAAAAUCUAAGUGACUAAAGUUCAUCUUGCCUAACUUGGAUGAUCUUGGAAAAACAAAUUUUGAGAUGGGUAUAACCAGUGGCUAAGUUCAUAAAAUAGAAGAAUCCCACUGCAAAUGGUAGGUGGCUUGGGUAGACACUGCCACUAUUUGCAACACAACAGGCUCAACAUUAAAAAGUGUUAGCUGAAGUUGCUUUUGGGGUUGUUUGGCCUAACAGAUAAAUCAACAGUCUCCCCACUGCACCGUAUGAUCUCACUUUUGAGCAGUGGUACGUUGUUGGGAGAGGGGUGGAAUUAAAGAUGUAUCUUAACUGAUAUUAAUUUAUCUGCAGUAUUGAUGGAUUGUCGAUUAAUUUUUUAGGCAUCAAAAGAAAGUGUUCUA
This 440-nucleotide unclassified non-coding RNA is filed under the name Hevea brasiliensis (rubber tree). The record is from RNAcentral. Lineage: Eukaryota; Viridiplantae; Streptophyta; Magnoliopsida; Malpighiales; Euphorbiaceae.